UGGGGAAUUUUGGACAAUGGGCGAAAGCCUGAUCCAGCAAUGCCGCGUGUGUGAAGAAGGCCUUCGGGCUGUAAAGCACUUUUGUCCGGAAAGAAAUCCUUGGCUCUAAUACAGUCGGGGGAUGACGGUACCGGAAGAAUAAGCACCGGCUAACUACGUGCCAGCAGCCGCGGUAAUACGUAGGGUGCAAGCGUUAAUCGGAAUUACUGGGCGUAAAGCGUGCGCAGGCGGUUUGCUAAGACCGAUGUGAAAUCCCCGGGCUCAACCUGGGAACUGCAUUGGUGACUGGCAGGCUAGAGUAUGGCAGAGGGGGGUAGAAUUCCACGUGUAGCAGUGAAAUGCGUAGAGAUGUGGAGGAAUACCGAUGGCGAAGGCAGCCCCCUGGGCCAAUACUGACGCUCAUGCACGAAAGCGUGGGGAGCAAACAGGAUUAGAUACCCUGGUAGUCCACGCCCUAAAACGAUGUCAACUAGUUGUUGGGGGAUUCAUUUCCUUAGUAACGUAGCUAACGCGUGAAGUUGACCGCCUGGGGAGUACGGUCGCAAGAUUAAAACUCAAAGGAAUUGACGGGGUCAUAGCUGUUUCCU
RNAcentral lists this ribosomal RNA (587 nucleotides) under uncultured bacterium. RNAcentral describes it as "partial 16S ribosomal RNA". It matches the Rfam family "Bacterial small subunit ribosomal RNA", at positions 355 to 1375 of the family's 1533-position model. The record is from RNAcentral.